UUAAAAGCAAUGACAGAGACAACAAUACUAAUAGUGUUAUCCACAGAGAACCAAUGUUGCUGAGAAUUGGUGUUAACGGUAGUAUAAUGAUCACUCUGGAGCUUUUGUACUGAAUAUUUUUAGUAAGUACAAACGUCUGUCAACGUUACAUGACUAAGGUUAAGGUAAUUAAUUAUCCGACCUGAAAAAAGAGGGGUAGAUGUAUUUUUAUAUCUACAAAUAAGGUGGUACCGCGGAAUAAAACUUUCGUCCUUAUA
Molecule: non-coding RNA, 257 nt
Filed under: Clostridioides difficile T5
Lineage: Bacteria; Bacillati; Bacillota; Clostridia; Peptostreptococcales; Peptostreptococcaceae
Also listed under: 3 other names
Description: T-box
Rfam family: T-box leader
About the family: Uncharged tRNA acts as the effector for transcription antitermination of genes in the T-box leader family. T-boxes are found upstream of many aminoacyl-tRNA synthetase genes and some amino acid biosynthetic genes usually in Gram-positive bacteria. The anticodon of a specific tRNA base pairs to a specifier sequence within the T-box motif, and the NCCA acceptor tail of the tRNA base pairs to a conserved bulge in the T-box antiterminator hairpin.
Source: RNAcentral